UACGUAGGUGGCAAGCGUUAUCCGGAAUUAUUGGGCGUAAAGCGCGCGUAGGCGGUUUUUUAAGUCUGAUGUGAAAGCCCACGGCUCAACCGUGGAGGGUCAUUAGAAACUGGAAGACUUGAGUGCAGAAGAGGAAAGUGGAAUUCCAUGUGUAGCGGUGAAAUGCGCAGAGAUAUGGAGGAACACCAGUGGCGAAGGCGACUUUCUGGUCUGUAACUGACGCUGAUGUGCGAAAGCGUGGGGAUCAAACAGGAUUAGAUACCCUGGUAGUCAAGGGCG
This 279-nucleotide ribosomal RNA is filed under the name uncultured Staphylococcus sp. Its description in RNAcentral is "partial 16S ribosomal RNA". It matches the Rfam family "Bacterial small subunit ribosomal RNA", at positions 524 to 802 of the family's 1533-position model. Lineage: Bacteria; Bacillati; Bacillota; Bacilli; Caryophanales; Staphylococcaceae. The record is from RNAcentral.